GACGGAGGAUGCAAGUGUUAUCCGGAAUCACUGGGCGUAAAGCGUCUGUAGGUGGUUUAAAAAGUCCACUGUUAAAAAUUGAAGCUUAACUUCAAAGAUGCCGUGGAAACUUUUAAACUGAGUAUGGUAGGGGUAGAGGGAAUUUCCAGUGGAGCGGUGAAAUGCGUAGAUAUUGGAAAGACCACCAAUGGCGAAGGCACUCUACUGGGCCAUUACUGACACUGAGAGACGAUAGCUAGGGGAGCAAAUGGG
Molecule: ribosomal RNA, 252 nt
Filed under: uncultured bacterium
Lineage: Bacteria
Description: partial 16S ribosomal RNA
Rfam family: Bacterial small subunit ribosomal RNA
Source: RNAcentral